Molecule: non-coding RNA, 45 nt
Filed under: Schistosoma mansoni
Lineage: Eukaryota; Metazoa; Platyhelminthes; Trematoda; Strigeidida; Schistosomatidae
Source: RNAcentral
AUGUAGCUGAUGAGUACCAGAUAGGACGAAACGCGCGUCCUAGAU